GAUGAACGCUGGCGGCGUGCCUAAUACAUGCAAGUCGAGCGAACAGACGAGGAGCUUGCUCCUCUGACGUUAGCGGCGGACGGGUGAGUAACACGUGGAUAACCUACCUAUAAGACUGGGAUAACUUCGGGAAACCGGAGCUAAUACCGGAUAAUAUAUUGAACCGCAUGGUUCAAUAGUGAAAGACGGUUUUGCUGUCACUUAUAGAUGGAUCCGCGCCGCAUUAGCUAGUUGGUAAGGUAACGGCUUACCAAGGCAACGAUGCGUAGCCGACCUGAGAGGGUGAACGGCCACACUGGAACGGAGACGCGGUCCAGCCCCCAAGGGGAGGCAGGAGUGGGGAAUCUUCCGCAAUGGGGGAAAGCCUGAGGGAGCAACGCCGGGUGAGUGAUGAAGGUCUUCGGAUCGUAAAACUCUUUUAUUAGGGAAGAAAAAAUGUGUAAGUAACUAUGCCCGUCUUGACGGUACCUAAUCAGAAAGCCACGGCUAACUACGU
RNAcentral lists this ribosomal RNA (496 nucleotides) under uncultured bacterium. RNAcentral's name for it is "partial 16S ribosomal RNA". It matches the Rfam family "Bacterial small subunit ribosomal RNA", at positions 28 to 506 of the family's 1533-position model. The record is from RNAcentral.